AAGUGCAUGUGGUGGAUGCCUUGGCGAUUACAGGCGAUGAAGGACGUAGUAGCCUGCGAAAAGCUGCGGGGAGCUGGCAAACAAGCUUUGAUCCGCAGAUGUCCGAAUGGGGAAACCCGGCCCGUAUGGGUCAUCCCUUGCUGAAUACAU
RNAcentral lists this ribosomal RNA (150 nucleotides) under Corchorus capsularis. RNAcentral's name for it is "rRNA 5_8S_rRNA". It matches the Rfam family "Bacterial large subunit ribosomal RNA", at positions 13 to 167 of the family's 2925-position model. Lineage: Eukaryota; Viridiplantae; Streptophyta; Magnoliopsida; Malvales; Malvaceae. The record is from RNAcentral.